AUGAAUAAUAAACCUUUAUCGUUAUUAAGGAAAUAUAAUAAUAACCAUUUUAUUAUUGCCUCUAGGGCAUAUUUCCAUCAAUCUUUGCUUCAGAACAAAACCCUGCAAUCAAAUAGAUUGUCCCAAGGGCGCCAUAUUCUAGGAGCUGAAGUCAUGCUAUUGAAAAUUUGUUUUUCUAGCAGUUCCGGUUUGAGCAGUAUGUUCCCUUUUUAAAACUCCACUUCUUUUAAUAUAAAAUCCCUGAUCAAAUAGAGAACAAUAUCCAUUGCAUUUCAUAGCCACUUUUCAUCCCAGAAAUGUAUCUCUAAGCCAUCCUAUAUAAGGAAUGAUCCGGAGCAAAAAAUAUAUUUCCUUACCGCCACCAGUCCAACCCAGAAGUGUGAGUCAUCGGGCUUCCAAUAUUCCCAGGACAUCGCCUUUUGGCCUAGAUACUUAUUUAGUAGAAAAGUUUGCCAAACACCAUCUUCGGUAAGUAGCUUGAAGAACCAUUUACUAAGUAAAUCAGAUUCUUGGCCUGGAGGUCUUGGACACCUAAACCUCCCUGGUCUUUCGAUCGACAAAGAAUCUGGAUCUAAAGUAAUCCAGUCUUUGUAG
RNAcentral lists this ribosomal RNA (594 nucleotides) under Triticum aestivum (bread wheat). Its description in RNAcentral is "partial small subunit ribosomal RNA". Lineage: Eukaryota; Viridiplantae; Streptophyta; Magnoliopsida; Poales; Poaceae. The record is from RNAcentral.